AACGAACGCUGGCGGCGUGGAUAAGACAUGCAAGUCGAACGGAGGAUGUGUAGCUUGCUAUAACAUCCUUAGUGGCGCACGGGUGAGUAACGCGUGAGCAACCUGCCCAUAAGUUGGGGAUAGCCCUGGGAAACCGGGAUUAAUACCGAAUGUGGUAGCAAUACUAAAGCAGUAAUGCGCUUAUGGAGGGGCUCGCGUCCUAUUAGUUAGUUGGUGAGGUAACGGCUCACCAAGGCGAUGACGGGUAGCCGGUCUGAGAGGAUGUCCGGCCACACUGGAACUGAGACACGGUCCAGACACCUACGGGUGGCAGCAGUCGAGAGUCAUUCACAAUGGGGGCAACCCUGAUGGUGCGACGCCGC
This 362-nucleotide ribosomal RNA is filed under the name uncultured bacterium. RNAcentral describes it as "bacterial SSU rRNA". It matches the Rfam family "Bacterial small subunit ribosomal RNA", at positions 29 to 400 of the family's 1533-position model. The record is from RNAcentral.